This is an unclassified non-coding RNA of Otolemur garnettii (small-eared galago), 100 nucleotides long. It matches the Rfam family "Y RNA". From Rfam's summary of the family: Y RNAs are components of the Ro ribonucleoprotein particle (Ro RNP), in association with Ro60 and La proteins. The Y RNAs and Ro60 and La proteins are well conserved, but the function of the Ro RNP is not known. The record is from Ensembl. Lineage: Eukaryota; Metazoa; Chordata; Mammalia; Primates; Galagidae.
GGCUGGUCUAAAGGUCGAGAGUUAUCUCACUUGAUUGUUCACAGUUACAGAUUGUUCUGCUCUUUCCCCCUUUCUCACUAAUGUGCUUCACUAGUCUUUU